AACCCUGUUCCUGCUCUGAGCUAUGACAUCUGCAGUAAAGAAACACAAAUUAUGGACUUGCAGCUUUCUACAGGGGCAACAGAUUCCUCACAAGGCUUUGUGUUUCACCCAUGGAUAGUCUGAAGUACAGUUUAAUGAUGUGGGAUUCUACAGGAUAGCUCACCUUGCUACAUCUUACGAAACAUAAACUGAUGAUGACAA
Molecule: long non-coding RNA, 201 nt
Organism: Pseudopipra pipra
Lineage: Eukaryota; Metazoa; Chordata; Aves; Passeriformes; Pipridae
Exons: 2
Source: RefSeq, a predicted model, not a curated record